Molecule: ribosomal RNA, 247 nt
Filed under: uncultured bacterium
Lineage: Bacteria
Description: partial 16S ribosomal RNA
Rfam family: Bacterial small subunit ribosomal RNA
Source: RNAcentral
AUACGGAGGGAGCUAGCGUUGUUCGGAAUUACUGGGCGUAAAGCGCGCGUAGGCGGCUAUUCAAGUCAGGGGUGAAAUCCCGGGGCUCAACCUCGGAACUGCCUUUGAAACUGGAUAGCUAGAAUCCUGGAGAGGCGAGUGGAAUUCCGAGUGUAGAGGUGAAAUUCGUAGAUAUUCGGAAGAACACCAGUGGCGAAGGCGACUCGCUGGACAGGUAUUGACGCUGAGGUGCGAAAGCGUGGGGAGC